Molecule: ribosomal RNA, 1679 nt
Filed under: Salmonella enterica
Lineage: Bacteria; Pseudomonadati; Pseudomonadota; Gammaproteobacteria; Enterobacterales; Enterobacteriaceae
Description: partial 23S ribosomal RNA
Rfam family: Bacterial large subunit ribosomal RNA
Source: RNAcentral
AGCUGCGGCAGCGACACUGUGUGUUGUUGGGUAGGGGAGCGUUCUGUAAGCCUGUGAAGGUGUGUCGUGAGGCAUGCUGGAGGUAUCAGAAGUGCGAAUGCUGACAUAAGUAACGAUAAAGCGGGUGAAAAGCCCGCUCGCCGGAAGACCAAGGGUUCCUGUCCAACGUUAAUCGGGGCAGGGUGAGUCGACCCCUAAGGCGAGGCCGAAAGGCGUAGUCGAUGGGAAACGGGUUAAUAUUCCCGUACUUGGUGUUACUGCGAAGGGGGGACGGAGAAGGCUAUGUUGGCCGGGCGACGGUUGUCCCGGUUUAAGCGUGUAGGUGUGUGUUCCAGGUAAAUCCGGUUCACUUUAACACUGAGGCGUGACGACGAGGCACUACGGUGCUGAAGCAACAAAUGCCCUGCUUCCAGGAAAAGCCUCUAAGCAUCAGGUAACAUCAAAUCGUACCCCAAACCGACACAGGUGGUCAGGUAGAGAAUACCAAGGCGCUUGAGAGAACUCGGGUGAAGGAACUAGGCAAAAUGGUGCCGUAACUUCGGGAGAAGGCACGCUGACACGUAGGUGAAGUGAUUUACUCAUGGAGCUGAAGUCAGUCGAAGAUACCAGCUGGCUGCAACUGUUUAUUAAAAACACAGCACUGUGCAAACACGAAAGUGGACGUAUACGGUGUGACGCCUGCCCGGUGCCGGAAGGUUAAUUGAUGGGGUCAGCGCAAGCGAAGCUCCUGAUCGAAGCCCCGGUAAACGGCGGCCGUAACUAUAACGGUCCUAAGGUAGCGAAAUUCCUUGUCGGGUAAGUUCCGACCUGCACGAAUGGCGUAAUGAUGGCCAGGCUGUCUCCACCCGAGACUCAGUGAAAUUGAACUCGCUGUGAAGAUGCAGUGUACCCGCGGCAAGACGGAAAGACCCCGUGAACCUUUACUAUAGCUUGACACUGAACAUUGAGCCUUGAUGUGUAGGAUAGGUGGGAGGCUUUGAAGUGUGGACGCCAGUCUGCAUGGAGCCGACCUUGAAAUACCACCCUUUAAUGUUUGAUGUUCUAACGUGGACCCGUUACCCGGGUUGCGGACAGUGUCUGGUGGGUAGUUUGACUGGGGCGGUCUCCUCCUAAAGAGUAACGGAGGAGCACGAAGGUUGGCUAAUCCUGGUCGGACAUCAGGAGGUUAGUGCAAUGGCAUAAGCCAGCUUGACUGCGAGCGUGACGGCGCGAGCAGGUGCGAAAGCAGGUCAUAGUGAUCCGGUGGUUCUGAAUGGAAGGGCCAUCGCUCAACGGAUAAAAGGUACUCCGGGGAUAACAGGCUGAUACCGCCCAAGAGUUCAUAUCGACGGCGGUGUUUGGCACCUCGAUGUCGGCUCAUCACAUCCUGGGGCUGAAGUAGGUCCCAAGGGUAUGGCUGUUCGCCAUUUAAAGUGGUACGCGAGCUGGGUUUAGAACGUCGUGAGACAGUUCGGUCCCUAUCUGCCGUGGGCGCUGGAGAACUGAGGGGGGCUGCUCCUAGUACGAGAGGACCGGAGUGGACGCAUCACUGGUGUUCGGGUUGUCAUGCCAAUGGCACUGCCCGGUAGCUAAAUGCGGAAGAGAUAAGUGCUGAAAGCAUCUAAGCACGAAACUUGCCCCGAGAUGAGUUCUCCCUGAGACUUAAAGUCUCCUGAAGGAACGUUGAAGACGACGACGUU